RNAcentral lists this ribosomal RNA (440 nucleotides) under uncultured bacterium. RNAcentral's name for it is "partial 16S ribosomal RNA". It matches the Rfam family "Bacterial small subunit ribosomal RNA", at positions 338 to 795 of the family's 1533-position model. The record is from RNAcentral.
CCUACGGGAGGCAGCAGUGGGGAAUAUUGCACAAUGGGCGCAACCCUGAUGCAGCGACGCCGCGUGCAUGAAGAAGUCUUUCGGUAUGUAAAGCUCUAUCAGCAGGGAGGAAAAUGACGGUACCCGUAUCCGAAGCAACGGCUAAUUCCGGGACAGCAGCCGCGGUAAUACGUAGGGGGCAAGCGUUAUGCGGAUUUACGGGGUGUAAAGGGAGCGUAGACGGCAGGACAAGUCCGGGGUGAAAUGCCCGGGCUUAACCCGGGAACUGCUUUUGAUACUGUGCAGCUAGAGUGCAGUAGAGGUAGGUGGAAUGCCUGGUGUAGCGGUGAAAUGCGUAGAGAUCAGGAGGAACACCGGUGGCGAAGGCGGCUUACUGGACUAUAACUGACGUUGAGGCGCGAAAGCGUGGGGAGCAAACAGGAUUAGAUACCCGAGUAGUC